UCCACCUCUUUUUUAGAGUAUUUUCUUCACCAUGUAGAUAAUCAUCAUAAGAAUUGAUCAUGUAUUCUUGAUUACAUAUGGAGCAGUUUUCAACUGAUUAAGAGGGUCAAUUUUUUUUGGUAAUUUGCUAAUGAUGGUUUUUUUUCCUUUUUGCUUAUUGUUUGCAUGUACCAAAUAUCCAAAUCAUCUGUGAAGGUUGUCCGUCCUACAAGAAUAUGAUAGACCCCCAGUUACUAAAGUGCUUGUGCGUAAGCGUGUGAGGGGAGGAGGUACUAAUACGUGUGAGAAAAAUGUGUAGAUUGAGUGGACCCUAGAGAAUAUUGUUAGUUAGAGGGGCUCGGGUGAGAGGUACGUAACCCAUUGAGGCUGAGGAGGAGAAUUUUCUUUUUGCUGAAUUUCUUGUAAUUGGUUCUCUUUUAUGAGAUCUUGGAGAGGUAGGAGAACUUUCGAAUCCUCCACCCUACUUGUUGAUAUAUAAAUUGAGGCUAAAGCCUAUCAGAAAUACUGCUUUGAUAAUUAUAGAAUUGAUAACAUUUUGGAAGUA
Molecule: non-coding RNA, 544 nt
Organism: Benincasa hispida (wax gourd)
Lineage: Eukaryota; Viridiplantae; Streptophyta; Magnoliopsida; Cucurbitales; Cucurbitaceae
Source: RefSeq, a predicted model, not a curated record